This 2899-nucleotide long non-coding RNA is filed under the name Phocoena sinus (vaquita). Its description in RNAcentral is "lncRNA (ENSPSNG00000009835.1)". The record is from RNAcentral. Lineage: Eukaryota; Metazoa; Chordata; Mammalia; Artiodactyla; Phocoenidae.
GUGAUGUGGAGGGGGCCUUGGGGUCCCUGAGAAGCACUCACACGUCCUCCUCUGGUUAGUGUCUGCUAAGGCUCUCCCGCCCUCCCCCCUCCCAGCCCCUGUUUCCGGCGCUGUCAGAAUCAGGGGAGCUCGUGACGCCUGCCCUCCCAGCACGACUGAACCUUCCAGCAAGGGCUUGAGAAGCGUGUGUGAGCAGCCUCUGGGCCCCGGGACGGAUGCACAGACUAGGUCCCUCGUUUUGUAUUGUGGGUGAGGGCUGCCAGUGCAGCUGUCGGGUCCACGUGUUGGCUGUGAGUCUUCCCUUCUCUUUAGGAACUGACCUCAGUAGCCUAAGGGACAGUAACCUACUUAGAGCUGGAAAAUCCAAGCCGGUCAGCCACGGAGAACACAGAUGCAGGCGCCUCUCCCCGCGGUGUCGUGCAGACCAUGACCCUCGGGGCCCGCAAAUGGGAGACCCGACCCGGCCCCGCCUCUCCUGCAGCCUCAUCUGACACCCCCCUGCGCCCCUCCCCGCCUUUCGGCUCUGGCACUGCAUGUCCCCUGGCUAACAGGCCCUGGAGAACUGUCACUCAUUCUUCAAGAGCCAGCGUGGAGCCACGUCUUCUCCCGCAGAAGGGCCGGUUGCUCCUGUCCUGGCGUGGAGAAAGCGUUCCAUUCACAACCCGUCAGGGCACCUGCCACGCGUCCCUGGACAGAGGGCCUGUGUCACCUCUUCCAUCCUCACCCGGGGGUGCUGUGCUCUCCCCAUUUUAAAGAUGAGGAAAGUGGGGUCUGGAGAGGCCGGCUAACUUGCUUGAGGCUGAAUGCAUUUAUUCACUCGCUUAACACACGUUUAUUUAACUUCUGCUUCGUGCCAGGCGCGGGACGUACUGAUGGCCGAGACAGACGGGGGCCCUGGGAGCUUGCGUUUUACUGAGGAGGGAAGACAAAGUGAGCGGGUGAAGGACGUGCAGACUGACGGGUGCUGACAGGAGGAGAGGGCGCUGAGGCCGCGGCCUGAGGGGCAGGCGUGACGCGUGUCCUGGGGACAGCGAGGGAAGCCACAUCAGGAACCCAGAGAUGCAGGCCCAGAUCCGGCCCAGGCCCUGCCCCCAAGCUCGGGAAGGGCUUCGUCUUUUUCUGCGUGUGAUGGGAGGUCCUGGAAGUGUUUUAAGCAAGGGAGUAAGACUGUCAGGUCUGAUUUUUGGGAAACAACACUGGGUGGCCGUGGACCACAGAGCAGUGCGCGUCCUUGUUUCUGAGUCAGCCUCGCCCCCUGGACUCAGCAUCUGGCUGGGGAGACUGUAGCUGCCCUGCUCUGUCACUUUCUGUAACCUGAACCCACGUCUGGAACACAGCAGGUGCCUGAUGAACGUCUGAAGGGUGCCCGUGUGCAAGGUGUGUGACCCGUGCCUUUUGGGCCCGGGAGGGGUGAUGGGUGGGUGUCCCCGAGCCUGCGGGAUAGGACACUGCUGACAUCAUCAGCAGUCAGCAGGCGGGGACGUGGAAGCAGGAUGGGUGCCUGACCUGUGGGGUCCGAUGGCCCAGCAGACAGUGCCCCAGUGACCACCAAUGACCUUCUGCGUGUGGCAGGAGUUUGGGAGGCGCGUGUGACGCGGCCCUGCCCUUCUGGGACCGGAGCCGGGCUGAGGAGCGCGGGGCUGUGUGUGCCAGCUUGGGGCCCCUGCUCCCUGGCCCGCCCACGGGGCUCGGAGGGCAGUGGGGUGGAGCAGGGCCCGGGUGUCCCUUGUUAGCAGGGGUGGCGACAGCAGGGAGCCCCACAGGGACCGGGCCACCAGUGCACACCUGGGCUGCACCUGCCUGGAGGAGGGACUCGAGCUGGAGCGGGGGCGGGCUUGAUUUUCCCCCUCAUCCCAGAGGCCACCGCGUUUGACCCCUUCUGACAUUACUGCCCAAGCCAGGAAACGAGAAGGUAACUCCGGAGAAGUUGUCCUUGAGAACGGAAGCCCCGGAGCCAGGCUGCUCCAGGACUGAGCUGGCUUCUUACAAGUCGUGUGACCUUGGGCGAGUGACUUACCCUCCGGGAACCUUUGUAACCUCGUGUGUGAAAUGGGAAUAAAGUGGGCUGACUGUGGGGAGGAAGAAGGUGACUGCACCUGUGAGGGGGCAGGUCCACACCUGUGAGGGGCGGGCCCACACCUGUGAGGGGAGGGGUCCACACCUGUGAGGGGGUGGGCCCACACCUGGCCCGCGGGGCGCAGCGGGGCAGCGAGUCGGGCGAAGAGGACCGUCCCACCCCAGCCACAGACGCUCACGUGUUCACACAGCACUCACACACGCUGAAUACACACACACACACACACACACACACACUUAGGCACACACAUACACCCCUACGCACUAUAUACACCUACACACACUCAUACGCUCACCACAUACCUACUCACUGUAUACACACACACACACCUGCACACACAGUGUAUACACAUACACGCUUACACACUCACAACGUACACACAUGCGUAUACCACAUAGACACAGACGUAUACACACACACACACACACACACACACACACACACACACACACGCUCAUCGUUAGAGAGGCAAAAGCUCUGCUUCGAUGCCCCUUGAAAGGCAGAGAGGAGGCCUCGGGGCUCCGGGUCGGGCAGACUUUCCUCCUCACUUUGGGGUCAGAAACAGGGGAGCAGGUGUUCUUCAUUGAGAAAAUAAAGGGAGGGCCAAGCCACUCUGAAUAAGAAACUGUCCAGAAUUUGGUUUUUGUGUUACUUCGUGAGACAGGACGGGUGUGGUGGGCACGCACCUUCGCGGAAGGCUGGAGCCCAGCGGGAGAAAACCAUCUCUGAGCUCAUGGAUGUCUGAUUCAACUUUAAGUUUUUUGUAUUCUGCUCUGUAAACCCCCUUUGUCUCCACACCUUCAGUAAAGUCUGCUCCACACA